CAUGUGUUGUUGUUGUUGUUGAUCAGACUACCAUUGUAUAUCUCUUCAUUUCUACCAUGGACAGAUAUGUAAUGGAGGAUAUAUUCUUGUUUUACGCACUACUUUCGUAUGUAUUACUAGAUGGCUUACACCCUUCUUUCAGAGAUAUACGAAGGGGACAAAUGGUAGAAUUUUGUGUGCUAUGUGCUUAGUUUGUACUCCACCCGGAUUAAAGUGCACAAGCUGCUGGCCCUUGAAUAACGUAUGACAUGAUGCAGUACAAUCCACUAUCGCUGAGAGCUCCGUUCCAUGGUGGGCUAUGUCAAAAUGAUCAUGCUCUUUGGGAAUGAGACAGGGGCUGGUGACACAUUGCAAAGAAGUUUGUUCUCUAAAGCCUUUAGAAUGAGGGAACUCGGCCAUUUCUACCUAUCAUUUUGUCAAGGGAUCAGCAAUGAAAUUGAUAAUUACGCCAAGAUAGUGGCACAUAAGAAGAUGGAUUUUGGGAACACAUCCUCCAGACUGGCGGUGGCGACCGCGAUGGCGCAUCGACGAGCUUGACGAGAUGGCACAUCGACAUGCAAAAAGUCAUGGGGACUCCCGCUGUUCCUGAGGGGUUGCGUGAUGCGGCCAUGGGGCGGCGGCGGUGCACACAUCAGACGUAUCCGGCUGUGCGCACUGAUGAUGUUGAGCCUCCGUGACCUCUAGGACCCGAGCAAGGCCAGCAGUGAUAGACGUGAACGUCAGGAUCAUUGCGGUGUGAGGUGUCGCCUUUUUGUGACGUGGUGGCCGCAAGUUGGAGCAAGCGCAUGCGAGCUGGGUGGUGCUAGACGACACUAGCUUACUUUCUUUGGUGUUCCUGAUGGUCUCCAAUAAUGCCCAGCGAGUUCAUUGUUAUCUAGGCAUAUGUAUUUGAUCUCCCUCUACUGCCGCAAAUCUCACCCUACCUGAUGCAAGUAGAAGAGAAUAAGCACAGCUACAGAUUAUAGAAGGUGUGCUGCUGUCGGACGUUGUCUAUAUAUGAUUAUUUAGCGACCCACGAGAUGUUUGAUGAAAUGAUUGUAUGAUAUUACCAAACAGCAGAGCUCUCUGGCUCUGCAUAUAUUUGGUGAUGAUUUUAGUGGGUCACAAGAUGUUGGCAGUCGUUGGGUUCUGUAUUCUACGAAAUAGCAGCAGCUUAUAUUAUCUUCAGUUA
Long non-coding RNA from Lolium perenne, 1171 nucleotides. RefSeq lists it as uncharacterized. NCBI's taxonomy places the organism in Eukaryota, Viridiplantae, Streptophyta, Magnoliopsida, Poales, Poaceae. The record is from RefSeq and is a predicted model, not a curated record.